GAUGAACGCUGGCGGCGUGCCUAAUACAUGCAAGUCGAGCGAACGGACGAGAAGCUUGCUUUUCUGAUGUUAGCGGCGGACGGGUGAGUAACACGUGGAUAACCUACCUAUAAGACUGGGAUAACUUCGGGAAACCGGAGCUAAUACCGGAUAAUAUUUUGAACCGUAUGGUUCAUAAGUUAAAGACGGUCUUGCUGUCACUUAUAGAUGGAUCCGCGCUGCAUUAGUUAGUUGGUAAGGUAACGGCUUACCAAGGCAACGAUGCAUAGCCGACCUGAGAGGGUGAUCGGCCACACUGGAACUGAGACACGGUCCAGACUCCUACGGGAGGCAGCAGUAGGGAAUCUUCCACAAUGGGCGAAAGCCUGAUGGAGCAACGCCGCGUGAGUGAUGAAGGUCUUCGGAUCGUAAAACUCUGUUAUUGGGGAAGAACGUAUGUGUUAGUAACUGUGCACAUCGUGACGGUACCUAAUCAGAAAGCCACGGCUAACUACGUG
This 497-nucleotide ribosomal RNA is filed under the name uncultured bacterium. Its description in RNAcentral is "partial 16S ribosomal RNA". It matches the Rfam family "Bacterial small subunit ribosomal RNA", at positions 28 to 507 of the family's 1533-position model. The record is from RNAcentral.